Molecule: transfer RNA, 65 nt
Filed under: Caecilia tentaculata
Lineage: Eukaryota; Metazoa; Chordata; Amphibia; Gymnophiona; Caeciliidae
Description: tRNA-Cys
Source: RNAcentral
AGUCCCGUGGUGUAGAGCACAUAAGAUUGCAAGUCUUAAAGAGAUGAAGGAAUUUUCCGGGGCUU